AGCUUUGUGUGGUGGCAGUAUCGUAGCCAAUGAGGUUUAUCUGAGGCGUGAUUAUUGCUAAUUGAAAAAGGUUUUCAACUUAAAAACAAUUAGAAUAACCUUGCUUAGAAUGGAUUUUCAAAAGUUGCUAUUUAAGAAUA
Molecule: small nuclear RNA, 140 nt
Organism: Heterocephalus glaber (naked mole-rat)
Lineage: Eukaryota; Metazoa; Chordata; Mammalia; Rodentia; Bathyergidae
Gene: U4
Rfam family: U4 spliceosomal RNA
About the family: U4 small nuclear RNA (U4 snRNA) is a component of the major U2-dependent spliceosome. The structure of U4 snRNA from yeast and human has been reported.
Source: Ensembl